GGUUGUCAAUGAUUCACAAUCAUUAAUAUUGAGGAUUCCCUCUUUACUUAACCUGUUCAUCCUGUUCUUGUUAAUAUGACCUAGCCUAUGAUGCCAAAGGUAGACAUCCGUGACAUAUCUAUUCUAGGGUGCUUACUUGACGUGUACAUUACAUUAACAGGUUGUGAUAACAAGUAGAUGCCAUUGCUCAAUCGUCCAUUUAUUACAAUAACACCAUUCAUAAUGAUAUCACAAGAACAUUUCUUUAUUGAAAUUUCAUAACCGUUCAUGGCCAAAAGGCCUACGAAAAUUACAUUCAAUAAGAAC
RNAcentral lists this long non-coding RNA (306 nucleotides) under Phoenix dactylifera (date palm). RNAcentral's name for it is "long non-coding RNA (PDAC_LNC017114)". The record is from RNAcentral. Lineage: Eukaryota; Viridiplantae; Streptophyta; Magnoliopsida; Arecales; Arecaceae.